This is a long non-coding RNA of Cervus elaphus (red deer), 455 nucleotides long. RefSeq lists it as uncharacterized. The record is from RefSeq and is a predicted model, not a curated record. NCBI's taxonomy places the organism in Eukaryota, Metazoa, Chordata, Mammalia, Artiodactyla, Cervidae. The transcript has 2 exons.
CCUACAUGUCAAUGGCAAUACCACUCUCGUUUGGAAAAUUACCCAAGGACCAGUGUCCCAGCCAGGGGUCAGCUUCCAGACCAGACAUGGGUGAUCGAUUUGUGCCGACCCAGGCCAGGCCUGGGUGCAGAAGUACAUCAAAUACCUGACCAAAAGUCCAAGGGAGCUGGGAGCAGUGGGACCUUCACAGUCGAGGGAUCAUGAGAAGAGGCCACAGAGCCACCUUCCCUCCCCAACCAGCUCCCUCAGCCCAGAUGGGCCCUGGACAAGUCCUGGCCUGAAUGAAAGCCCGUGUGUGUGUCUCCCUGCUCCUGCUCUGAUGGUCUGCGCUCUCCUGAAGCUUUGCUGUGAAGCUCCGCCUCCUGGGGCCAGAGGAGACUGUGGCCCUCGGAAAGCAUCUGUCGUCUCCUUGCAGGCGCUCAGGUCUUGAAAUAAAUCUGUGCUGCAGAAAGGGA